This 497-nucleotide ribosomal RNA is filed under the name uncultured bacterium. RNAcentral's name for it is "partial 16S ribosomal RNA". It matches the Rfam family "Bacterial small subunit ribosomal RNA", at positions 28 to 507 of the family's 1533-position model. The record is from RNAcentral.
GAUGAACGCUGGCGGCGUGCCUAAUACAUGCAAGUCGAGCGAACAGACGAGGAGCUUGCUCCUCUGACGUUAGCGGCGGACGGGUGAGUAACACGUGGAUAACCUACCUAUAAGACUGGGAUAACUUCGGGAAACCGGAGCUAAUACCGGAUAAUAUAUUGAACCGCAUGGUUCAAUAGUGAAAGACGGUUUUGCUGUCACUUAUAGAUGGAUCCGCGCCGCAUUAGCUAGUUGGUAAGGUAACGGCUUACCAAGGCAACGAUGCGUACCCGACCUGAGAGGGUGAUCGGCCACACUGGAACUGAGACACGGUCCAUACUCCUACGGGAGGCAGCAGUAGGGAAUCUUCCGCAAUGGGCGAAAGCCUGACGGAGCAACGCCGCGUGAGUGAUGAAGGUCUUCGGAUCGUAAAACUCUGUUAUUAGGGAAGAACAAAUGUGUAAGUAACUAUGCACGUCUUGACGGUACCUAAUCAGAAAGCCACGGCUAACUACGUG